AACGAACGCUGGCGGCAUGCCUAACACAUGCAAGUCGAACGAGACCUUCGGGUCUAGUGGCGCACGGGUGCGUAACGCGUGGGAACCUGCCCUUAGGUUCGGAAUAACUCCCCGAAAGGGGUGCUAAUACCGGAUAAUUUCUUCGGACCAAAGAUUUAUCGUCUUUGGAUGGGCCCGCGUUGGAUUAGCUAGUUGGUAGGGUAAAAGCCUACCAAGGCGACGAUCCAUAGCUGGUCUGAGAGGAUGAUCAGCCACACUGGGACUGAGACACGGCCCAGACUCCUACGGGAGGCAGCAGUGGGGAAUAUUGGACAAUGGGCGAAAGCCUGAUCCAGCAAUGCCGCGUGAGUGAUGAAGGCCUUAGGGUUGUAAAGCUCUUUUACCCGGGAUGAUAAUGACAGUACCGGGAGAAUAAGCUCCGGCUAACUCCGUG
RNAcentral lists this ribosomal RNA (433 nucleotides) under uncultured bacterium. RNAcentral describes it as "partial 16S ribosomal RNA". It matches the Rfam family "Bacterial small subunit ribosomal RNA", at positions 29 to 507 of the family's 1533-position model. The record is from RNAcentral.